ACCGGAGAGCCCUUCUCUUUGCCCUCUUCUCUCUCUACAAAACUCUUCCAAAUCUUGAUCUCCCCCUCCUCCGAUCUCUUCAUCACUAAUCGACCAUAAAAACCACCAUGCCACCGCCAUGCAACCAGCCUCAGGGCCAUCUUCUCUGGUGAAACCAAGAACGACCAGCCUACCAUCGCUGAUCGGAGCCACCACUCCAGUGCCACCCCCAGAUCUGCCACCUCCACCAGCCGCGAUUCGACCCCUUUUUUUCGCCUCUCUCUCACGCCGCACCAAAUCUGCAAUCCCCUUCAUCUCCGGUGCCACCAACAAUAGAAAUAGCACCCCCUAAGAUCUGACUAUUAUACGGUUUAAGUAGACUACUACGGGUUUCGAAGAGUAACCAAAUUAGUUUAAUAAUUAGAUUGUAUUAGCUUGAGUGUACUUUCUUAUUAUUUGAUUUUUAAUAUUGUGUAAAGACAUUAUUAUCGAUGUAAUAAUAUAAUUUCUUGGGGAUUGCUUUGGGGGGCGGGGAUUAUGUGCUCUAUAAAUGGUACAGGUAGGCACAACCUAGGAUUACGUGCAGGACGUGUUAUUUGAAUCAUCUAGGCACAAAAUUAGGGUCUAUUAAUAUGAAUCUUGCUAUAGUUUAUUAAUUACUCUUAUCUAUCUAAAAUUGAUGUAUCAUAUUAAUUGAUAUGAAGCUUAUUAAUUUAACAUUAGGCCUGUUGACGUAUUUCUGCAUGUUAAGCAUAUUGAUUUGAACCUAAGCAUGCUAAUAUCUUUUUAACAUAUCCACAUUGAAUUAAGGCAUGAUAAUAUUUUUGAUACGUUAGCUUAUUAUAUUAAUUUUCGCAUGUUAAGCACAACUUAUUUAGUAUGUCUUUACAUGUUUAGGUGUGUCGACACAGUUUUAGGCAUAUUAAAAUAAUUUGAGCAUGUUAACAUCAAAGUUUCAGCAUGUCUAACAUCAUGUUUAGCAAUUUUAGAUUAAUUUCCAACAUGUUUAAAUGAUUUUUCUGCGCAUCUAAAUAAAUUUCAGCACUUAAACUGAAUUCCAGCAUGCUUAAAAUGCUAGUUCCCUACAUUUAUAGAAUGUUAAAAUAUUAGAUUUUACGCAUUCUUGGCAUGUUUUCAGCAUAUCAACAUGAAAAUACUGUGCCUUAACUUAUUCUCAGCAUGUUCAAUUAACUUUUUUAGCAUGUUUAAUUAAUUUUUCAGCAUGUUUAGUUGACUUUCAGCAUGCUAAAAUACUAGUAAUUCUCUACAUUUUCUACAUGUUAAUUUGUUCUCCGCAUUUAAGUGCAUCCCUAACAUGUUAACAAAUCCUUUAAUAUUUUACUAGUUUCUUGUAUUCUUAUUAUAGUUUAUAACACUUAAUUCACAACACAUUUUCUUGACACAUUUACCACACUUUUGAUACCUCUCAUGAACAAACAUAAGGUUGUUGCAUACACGAAUCACAGUCUUUUAUCAUGAAUCGUUGAUCAUUUAGACACCAUGCCUAUAGGUUAAUGAUGUAGCAAUUAAUUAUUUGUCUUGGCAUGCUUACCAUAUUAAUCAACUCAUUUAUUAACCAAGAGGCUAACUUGGGACAAUUAUGUGCUACUUGUGGUCCAACGUGUUACACGCUUCGAGUCCUAGGCAACAUAGUUUUCUUCUCAUCUAGAACACAAAUUCAAAAUUAGUAAAGUCUAAUGCCUCUUGGACGAUAGGUGGGAUGUUAAGUAUUACUAAAAACAUUAAUUUUCUCCUUGUCAUAGAACGCCCUUAGACUUGACAUCCAGCCUAGGUGGGGUAGGACAGGUAGUCAUUCAGAAAUGAUGAUCCCAACAAAAUAUUAACGGCGAGGCUAAUGACAUUAUUACUUGUGUAAGAUUUUAGCCCUUUGGUCGGAUGACGCUUAGCAAUUUGGGUUUCUCAUCUGAAUAAAACCAAAACAUUUCUUUGUUUGAAUUGGACAGUAUCUUUUUUUAGUCUUUUUAUUUACUUUACAUGUUUAUUUGGGGUAGUUAGUUUAUUACAUAAGCAGUUCCCAUUAUUAAAUUA
Long non-coding RNA from Capsicum annuum, 2028 nucleotides. RefSeq lists it as uncharacterized. Lineage: Eukaryota; Viridiplantae; Streptophyta; Magnoliopsida; Solanales; Solanaceae. The transcript is spliced from 2 exons. The record is from RefSeq and is a predicted model, not a curated record.